UAGUUCUUUUUGGCUUUUUUUUUUAAAGUUUAAGUCAAGUAUAGUUAAGUUUAUUUACAAGUUUUAUUUAGAGAAGAAGUUUGAAAAUGCAAUGGCAUAAGGCCAAAGUUUCUAUCUUUUUGCAAAGUGGUCAAAGUUUAGAACAAAAUAAGUUCAAUCAAAGAAUAUUUUGAAAAGGGAGGGAGAGAUUUUGAAAUUAAAGAAGUGGGAAGAAGAUGAAGAGACUAUCC
RNAcentral lists this long non-coding RNA (230 nucleotides) under Lathyrus oleraceus (garden pea). Its description in RNAcentral is "Pisum sativum (pea) long non-coding RNA (PSAT_LNC018345)". Lineage: Eukaryota; Viridiplantae; Streptophyta; Magnoliopsida; Fabales; Fabaceae. The record is from RNAcentral.